Molecule: transfer RNA, 71 nt
Filed under: Diporiphora winneckei
Lineage: Eukaryota; Metazoa; Chordata; Lepidosauria; Squamata; Agamidae
Description: tRNA-Asx
Rfam family: tRNA
About the family: Transfer RNA (tRNA) molecules are approximately 80 nucleotides in length.
Source: RNAcentral
GGGGCUGAUGCUUGUGGUAAGCGUGUUAGCUGUUAACUAAUGUAGUGUGGGAUCGAAGCCCCCCGGCCCCU